ACGGAAGAUGGCGGCGGCGGGAGGUACGAUAGCUGCAGUCCCCGAAGAGGGAGCAGAAGGGGAGGCUACUCCACCGGCAGCUCCGGAAGCGAUGGCCGGGGAAAUCCCUGGGUCAACCGAGCAGGGGACCGGAGAUUCAGAGACCGGGGGGGAUACUUCCCUGGCUGAUGUCACUGCCACCCUGGAAACAGAGUCAUCCAGUGGAAAGGAUGCAUUGGUAUGUGAACCAAAUCUGCCCUCUGGGGAGAUAGCGAUGGCAUUUGGACUACCUCUUGCAGCUGUGCUGAUGUUGUUUCAGGAGGGUGUUGGGGACAGUUCGGAAGUCCUGGAUAAUCAGACUGGCUCAGUCGAUGAAGAGAAUGGACGACAGCUGGGGGAAAUUGAGCUGCAGUGUGGCAUCUGCACCAAGUGGUUCACAGCAGAGACUUUUGGUAUUGAUACCACGUCUUGUCUGCCCUUUAUGACCAACUACAGUUUCCAUUGCAACAUUUGCCACCACAGUGGGAAUACAUACUUCUUAAGAAAACAAGCAAAUCUGAAGGAAAUGUGUCUUAGUGCUCUGGCGAACUUAACUUGGCAAUCAAGGUCCCAAGAUGAACACCCCAAAACAAUGUUUUCCAAAGACAAGGAUAUUAUACCCUUUAUUGAUAAGUACUGGGAGUAUAUGACAACAAGGCAAAGGCCGGGCAAGAUGACUUGGCCAAAUAAUAUUGUUAAAACAAUGUGUAAAGAAAGAGAUGUCUUCUUGGUGAAAGAGCAUCCAGACCCAGGAAGCAAAGACCCAGAAGAAGAUUACCCCAAAUUUGGACUCUUAGACCAGGACCUUAGUAAUAUUGGCCCUGCAUAUGAUAAUCAGAAACAGAGCAAUAUGGUAUCUACCACUGGAAGCUUAAAUGGUGGAGCCUCUUUGGGAGUCAAACGACACACAGAUUUGUGGUGUUUCCCUUCCCAAGGGGGUAUCGUAGCAGGAACUAGUGGGAAAGGAAGAGGAGCAAAGCGCAAGCAGCAAGAUGGAGGGACUACAGGAACAGCCAAGAAAACCAGGAGUGAUCCUUUGUUCUCUGCUCAGCGUCUCCCACCACACGGCUACCCAUUGGAACACCCCUUUAAUAAGGAUGGAUACCGUUACAUUUUGGCUGAGCCUGACCCCCAUGCGCCUGACCCUGAGAAACUGGAGCUGGACUGCUGGGCGGGCAAGCCUAUUCCGGGAGAUCUCUACCGGGCCUGCCUGUAUGAGCGGGUCCUCCUGGCUUUGCACGACCGAGCCCCUCAACUAAAGAUCUCGGACGACAGGCUGACAGUUAUAGGAGAGAAAGGCUACUCCAUGGUUCGAGCCUCACAUGGUGUGCGGAAGGGAGCCUGGUACUUUGAGAUCUCAGUGGAUGAGAUGCCUGCAGAAACAGCUGCCAGGCUUGGGUGGUCUCAGCCACUAGGGAACCUUCAGGCUCCCCUGGGCUAUGACAAAUUUAGUUAUUCUUGGCGAAGCAAGAAAGGCACGAAAUUCCAUCAGUCCAUCGGUAAACAUUAUUCAUCAAGCUAUGGCCAAGGAGACGUGCUUGGUUUUUAUAUAAGCCUUCCAGAAGAUACUGAAACUGCCAAAUCUCUGCCAGACACUUACAAAGACAAGGCUUUGAUCAAGUUCAAAAGCUACUUGUACUUUGAAGAGAAAGACUUUGUGGAUAAAGCUGAAAAGAGUUUAAAGCAAGCGCCUGGAAGCCAAAUAAUCUUCUAUAAAAAUGGUGCCAGCCAAGGUGUUGCAUACAAAGAUGUUUUUGAAGGUGUUUACUUCCCUGCUGUGUCACUGUAUAAAGGCUGCACGGUUUCUAUAAACUUUGGGCCCUACUUCAAAUACCCUCCAAGAGAUAUCAGUUACCGACCGAUGAGUGAUAUGGGCUGGGUUGCUGUGGUCGAGCAUACCCUUGCAGAUGUCCUCUAUCAUGUGGAAACAGAAGUGGAUGGGAGACGCAGUCCACCAUGGGAACCAUGAAAGACAUUGUGAUUCUGGUCUGGAGCAUAUUCCAAGGAUUCAAAUAUUGUGGGUCCACUGAUGCAACCCCACUUGUGGUUCCAGCCCAACCUCCAACUCUUCCAACUCAAAAAGAAAGAAACAACAGACAAAAAUGCAACAAACCUACCAUCACAGUUUCUGUUUUCCAGUCCCCUUGUUCUCCAAGAAUAUUAAGCGAUUUCUGAAGCGCCUCCUCUCCUUGUUUGAUGUAGAACAUUUCUGAUUCAUUGAAGAGGUUCUCCUCCAGUCGGGAGCCUGUAAGGUUGGAUUAGGACAGCUUAUUUUAAAAAGAGAUAGUCAAGAUUUGUAAGGACUUGCUCAAAUCAGAAAUUCUGUAGCCCAAAACA
This is an RNA transcript of Varanus komodoensis (Komodo dragon), 2355 nucleotides long. It is a transcript of the gene named ASH2 like, histone lysine methyltransferase complex subunit, with no coding region annotated. The transcript has 20 exons. NCBI's taxonomy places the organism in Eukaryota, Metazoa, Chordata, Lepidosauria, Squamata, Varanidae. The record is from RefSeq and is a predicted model, not a curated record.